This 28-nucleotide small RNA is filed under the name Bombyx mori (domestic silkworm). RNAcentral describes it as "piRNA piR-bmo-1970270". The record is from RNAcentral. Lineage: Eukaryota; Metazoa; Arthropoda; Insecta; Lepidoptera; Bombycidae.
UAGAUAGACUUCUUCUGCUGCCAUCAUC